GAUGAACGCUAGCGGCAGGCCUAAUACAUGCAAGUCGAACGAUAUCAUGCAGCUUGCUAGAUGAGAAAGUGGCGCACGGGUGCGUAACGCGUAUGCAACCUACCUUUAUCAGGGGGAUAGCCCGGAGAAAUCCGGAUUAAUACCGCAUAAAAUCACAGGAUGGCAUUAUCCAAUGAUCAAACAUUUAUGGGAUAAAGAUGGGCAUGCGUGUCAUUAGCUAGUUGGCGGGGUAACGGCCCACCAAGGCGACGAUGACUAGGGGAUCUGAGAGGAUGGCCCCCCACACUGGUACUGAGACACGGACCAGACUCCUACGGGAGGCAGCAGUAAGGAAUAUUGGUCAAUGGGCGGAAGCCUGAACCAGCCAUGCCGCGUGCAGGAAGACUGCCCUAUGGGUUGUAAACUGCUUUUAUCCGGGAAUAAACCUGCUUACGUGUAAGUGGCUGAAUGUACCGGAAGAAUAAGGAUCGGCUAACUCCGUGCCAGCAGCCGCGGUAA
RNAcentral lists this ribosomal RNA (498 nucleotides) under uncultured bacterium. RNAcentral describes it as "partial 16S ribosomal RNA". It matches the Rfam family "Bacterial small subunit ribosomal RNA", at positions 28 to 523 of the family's 1533-position model. The record is from RNAcentral.